This is a non-coding RNA of Ictidomys tridecemlineatus (thirteen-lined ground squirrel), 425 nucleotides long. The record is from RefSeq and is a predicted model, not a curated record. NCBI's taxonomy places the organism in Eukaryota, Metazoa, Chordata, Mammalia, Rodentia, Sciuridae.
UUGAGUGCAUGAAUAUCGUCCCUCAGGAGUUAUGCACUGACUCGAGCAAAUUGCAGACUCUCUGCAUCUCUGUCUCUGACCUGGGGCUCCAGAGGUAGCAUACCUGGCAUGGCAGUAGAAAUUCUGGACUCUCCCUCUCCCUUGUCUAGGUUAAACUGGCCAGAGGCUUGUCAACAAGAGCCCUGAUGAAAUGAAGCCACAUCCUUUUAUGAGCACUUGGCUGUAUAUGACCGUCUCAGUUCUGAUCCAACCUCCAAGGCAGUCCACAUGUCUGCUCUUCUAGGACCUGCAUCCUGUGUACAAAGGCAAUUGUGGCAUAAUGGGAAGAGUGCUGAACAUGGACUAAGAGGACACAGGUGGGGCCCUGCUUUGUGCUUUCUGUAUGAUAUUAGCCAGGAUUGAAUAAAGCUGUUUGUGUCAGAAAA